AACGAACGCUGGCGGCAUGCCUAACACAUGCAAGUCGAACGAGACCUUCGGGUCUAGUGGCGCACGGGUGCGUAACGCGUGGGAACCUGCCCUUAGGUUCGGAAUAACUCCCCGAAAGGGGUGCUAAUACCGGAUAAUGUCUUCGGACCAAAGAUUUAUCGCCUUUGGUUGGGCCCGCGUUGGAUUAGCUAGUUGGUAGGGUAAAAGCCUACCAAGGCGACGAUCCAUAGAUGGUCUGAGAGGAUGAUCAGCCACACUGGGACUGAGACACGGCCCAGACUCCUACGGGAGGCAGCAGUGGGGAAUAUUGGACAAUGGGCGAAAGCCUGAUCCAGCAAUGCCGCGUGAGUGAUGAAGGCCUUAGGGUUGUAAAGCUCUUUUACCCGGGAUGAUAAUGACAGUACCGGGAGAAUAAGCUCCGGCUAACUCCGUG
This 433-nucleotide ribosomal RNA is filed under the name uncultured bacterium. Its description in RNAcentral is "partial 16S ribosomal RNA". It matches the Rfam family "Bacterial small subunit ribosomal RNA", at positions 29 to 507 of the family's 1533-position model. The record is from RNAcentral.